RNAcentral lists this ribosomal RNA (253 nucleotides) under uncultured bacterium. RNAcentral describes it as "partial 16S ribosomal RNA". It matches the Rfam family "Bacterial small subunit ribosomal RNA", at positions 524 to 776 of the family's 1533-position model. The record is from RNAcentral.
GACGAACCGUGCGUACGUUGUUCGGAAUCACUGGGCUUAAAGGGCGCGUAGGCGGGCAAGCAAGUCCGGGGUGAAAGCCCCCAGCUCAACUGGGGAAGUGCCUUGGAAACUGCUUGUCUAGAGGGAGGUAGGGGCAUGUGGAACUUCGGGUGGAGCGGUGAAAUGCGUUGAUAUCCGAAGGAACGCCGGUGGCGAAAGCGACGUGCUGGAUCUCUUCUGACGCUGAGGCGCGAAAGCUAGGGUAGCGAACGGG